CACGUAGUUAGCCGGGGCUUUCUUCUCAGGUACCGUCACCUCAGGAGCAGUUACUCUCCUGAGCGUUCUUCCCUAGGCAACAGAGCUUUACGACCCGAAGGCCUUCAUCACUCACGCGGCGUUGCUCCAUCAGACUUUCGUCCAUUGUGGAAGAUUCCCUACUGCUGCCUCCCGUAGGAGUCUGGGCCGUGUCUCAGUCCCAGUGUGGCCGAUCACCCUCUCAGGUCGGCUAUGCAUCGUCGCCUUGGUGAGCCGUUACCUCACCAACUAGCUAAUGCACCGCAGGUCCAUCCAUAAGUGACAGAUUGCUCCGCCUUUCCCAAAUCUCUCAUGCGAGAAAUUUGAUUAUCUGGUAUUAGCAUCCGUUCCGAAUGUUAUCCCAGUCUUAGUGGGCUAGGUUACCUACGUGUUACUCGACCCGUCCGCCGCUAAGCAUCAUCUUUACCGAAGAAAGCUAGCUCCGCUCGACUUGCUA
RNAcentral lists this ribosomal RNA (475 nucleotides) under uncultured Caryophanales bacterium. Its description in RNAcentral is "uncultured Bacillales bacterium partial 16S ribosomal RNA". Lineage: Bacteria; Bacillati; Bacillota; Bacilli; Caryophanales. The record is from RNAcentral.